This 404-nucleotide unclassified non-coding RNA is filed under the name soil metagenome. Its description in RNAcentral is "partial contains 5.8S ribosomal RNA, internal transcribed spacer 2, and large subunit ribosomal RNA". The stretch from base 1 to 121 matches the Rfam family "5.8S ribosomal RNA", at positions 35 to 154 of the family's 154-position model. The record is from RNAcentral.
GAUGAAGAACGCAGCGAAAUGCGAUAAGUAAUGUGAAUUGCAGAAUUCAGUGAAUCAUCGAAUCUUUGAACGCACCUUGCGCCCUUUGGCUAUUCCGAAGGGCAUGCCUGUUUGAGUAUCAUGAACACCUCGACUCUCAUGGUUUGCCAUGAUGAGCUUGGACUUUGGGGGUCUUGCCGGCCUAUGGGUCGGCUCCUCUCAAAUUAAUCAGCUUGCCAGUGUUUGGUGGCAUCACAGGUGUGAUAACUAUCUACGCUUGUGGUUUUCCAUCAGGUAACCUUCAGUGAUGGAGGUUCGCUGGGGCUCAUAAAUGUCUCUCCUCAGUGAGGACAGCUUUUUUGAACGUUUGAUCUCAAAUCAGGUAGGACUACCCGCUGAACUUAAGCAUAUCAAUAAGCGGAGGA